Molecule: small nuclear RNA, 159 nt
Filed under: Macaca fascicularis (crab-eating macaque)
Lineage: Eukaryota; Metazoa; Chordata; Mammalia; Primates; Cercopithecidae
Also listed under: 1 other name
Description: U1 spliceosomal RNA
Rfam family: U1 spliceosomal RNA
About the family: U1 is a small nuclear RNA (snRNA) component of the spliceosome (involved in pre-mRNA splicing). Its 5' end forms complementary base pairs with the 5' splice junction, thus defining the 5' donor site of an intron.
Source: Rfam by way of RNAcentral
AUACUUACCUGGCAGGGGAGAUACCAUGAUCACGAAGGUGGUUGUCCCAGGGCGAGGUUUAUCCAUUGCACUCCGGAUGUGCUGACCCCUGCAAUUUCCCCAAAUGUGGGAAACUUGACUGCAUAAUUUGUUGUAGUUGGGGACUGCGUUCACGCUAGA